RNAcentral lists this long non-coding RNA (249 nucleotides) under Capsicum annuum. RNAcentral describes it as "long non-coding RNA (CANN_LNC016377)". Lineage: Eukaryota; Viridiplantae; Streptophyta; Magnoliopsida; Solanales; Solanaceae. The record is from RNAcentral.
AUUCAUAAUCCUGGCUAAAUUUAUGUUAUCGUUCAGCAUCCAUACUUACACUCAUUUACCAUGCUAUCAUUCACCCCUGAAACAAACUUACUCAUCUUAGCACUGUUGUGUGCAACCACAUGGGGGGCAUAUCUAGAUAAUUGAGUACACCUGAGAGAAUAUUAUUUCACCAUCAUAUUCCUUUGCCUGAGGUUAAUAAACUCUAGCACCUUAUCCUUCCUCAGCUCUUGGGGAAAGAAUCUGUCUAAG